This 375-nucleotide unclassified non-coding RNA is filed under the name Hevea brasiliensis (rubber tree). The record is from RNAcentral. Lineage: Eukaryota; Viridiplantae; Streptophyta; Magnoliopsida; Malpighiales; Euphorbiaceae.
AAAAGAUUAAGCCCUAAAAGAUGCAUCCACAAAAUUUUAAUAUCUAUGGAAGAGAAUAUGCAUGAAUAAAAUUCCAGCUGCAUACAUGACCAUAAUGUUUCUUAUAGAUCCAUAAGUCGUUAAAUAGCCAUACCACUAAUUAUUUGAACCAUUACACAUCAAUGUUUAUGCAGGCACAUUGGCCCAUCAAAUUUUAAAUGAAGCAAGCAAAGGUGUGAAUUUUAUAUCCAUUAGAGCACCAACUUUGUGUAUCUAGUAAGUAUGGCGCUGGGGGGAGAUAUUGCAAUAUCACACAACUAAAACAACAGAGUUCUUUUACCCCUAUACUUUUGACACACUUAUUUGGAAAAAUAUUAUAAUGCAUUAAAAAAAAAA